CCCUGGCUCAGGACGAACGCUGGCGGCGUGCCUAAUACAUGCAAGUCGAGCGGAGUUAAUUGAAAGCUUGCUUUYAAUUAAGUUAGCGGCGGACGGGUGAGUAACACGUGGGUAACCUGCCUUUAAGACUGGGAUAACAUUCGGAAACGGAUGCUAAUACCGGAUAGGCGAUUUGGUCGCAUGAUCGAAUCGAGAAAGAUGGAGCAAUCUAUCACUUAGAGAUGGACCCGCGGCGCAUUAGCUAGUUGGUGAGGUAACGGCUCACCAAGGCGACGAUGCGUAGCCGACCUGAGAGGGUGAUCGGCCACACUGGGACUGAGACACGGCCCAGACUCCUACGGGAGGCAGCAGUAGGGAAUCUUCCGCAAUGGACGAAAGUCUGACGGAGCAACGCCGCGUGAGUGAUGAAGGUUUUCGGAUCGUAAAGCUCUGUUGCCAGGGAAGAACGCUUGGGAUAGUAACUGCUCCCAAGGUGACGGUACCUGAGAAGAAAGCCCCGGC
This 501-nucleotide ribosomal RNA is filed under the name Paenibacillaceae bacterium CL2.77. RNAcentral describes it as "bacterial SSU rRNA". It matches the Rfam family "Bacterial small subunit ribosomal RNA", at positions 17 to 497 of the family's 1533-position model. The record is from RNAcentral. Lineage: Bacteria; Bacillati; Bacillota; Bacilli; Caryophanales; Paenibacillaceae.